UGGGGAAUAUUGGACAAUGGGCGAAAGCCUGAUCCAGCCAUGCCGCGUGUGUGAAGAAGGUCUUCGGAUUGUAAAGCACUUUAAGUUGGGAGGAAGGGCAUUAACCUAAUACGUUAGUGUUUUGACGUUACCGACAGAAUAAGCACCCGCUAACUCUGUGCCAGCAGCCGCGGUCAUACAGAGGGUGCAAGCGUUAAUCGGAAUUACUGGGCGUAAAGCGCGCGUAGGUGGUUUGUUAAGUUGGAUGUGAAAUCCCCGGGCUCAACCUGGGAACUCCAUUCAAAACUGACUGACUAGAGUAUGGUAGAGGGUGGUGGAAUUUCCUGUGUAGCGGUGAAAUGCGUAGAUAUAGGAAGGAACACCAGUGGCGAAGGCGACCACCUGGACUAAUACUGACACUGAGGUGCGAAAGCGUGGGGAGCAAACA
This 427-nucleotide ribosomal RNA is filed under the name uncultured bacterium. RNAcentral's name for it is "partial 16S ribosomal RNA". It matches the Rfam family "Bacterial small subunit ribosomal RNA", at positions 355 to 774 of the family's 1533-position model. The record is from RNAcentral.